UAUAUAUUGACCCCAUACAGGUAUGAUAUAUAUUGACCCCAUACAGGUAGGAUAUAUAUUGACCCCAUACAGGUAGGAUAUAUAUUGACCCCAUACAGGUAGGAUUUAUAUUGACCCCAUACAGGUAGGAUAUAUAUUGACCCCAUACAGGUAGGAUUUAUAUUGACCCCAUAUAGGACCAGCUACACAGAGCACAGCCUUCAGCCAUACAGGUAGGAUAUAUAUUGACCCCAUACAGGUAGGAUAUAUAUUGACCCCAUACAGGUAGGAUAUAUAUUGACCCCAUACAGGUAUGAUAUAUAUUGACCCCAUACAGGUAGGAUAUAUAUUGACCCCAUACAGGUAGGAUUUAUAUUGACCCCAUAUAGGACCAGCUACACAGAGCACAGCGUUCAGCCAUACAGGUAGGAUUUAUAUUGACCCCAUAUAGGACCAGCAACACAGAGCACAGCGUUCAGCCAUACAGGUAGGAUAUAUAUUGACCCCAUACAGGUAGGAUUUAUAUUGACCCCAUAUAGGACCAGCUACACAGAGCACAGCCUUCAGCCAUACAGGUAUGAUAUAUAUUGACCCCAUACAGGUAGGAUAUAUAUUGACCCCAUACAGGUAGGAUAUAUAUUGACCCUGUACAGGUAGGAUAUAUAUUGACCCCAUACAGGUAGGAUAUAUAUUGACCCCAUACAGGUAGGAUUUAUAUUGACCCCAUACAGGUAGGAUUUAUAUUGACCCCA
Molecule: long non-coding RNA, 731 nt
Organism: Oncorhynchus keta (chum salmon)
Lineage: Eukaryota; Metazoa; Chordata; Actinopteri; Salmoniformes; Salmonidae
Exons: 3
Source: RefSeq, a predicted model, not a curated record